UACGGGGGGAGCAAGCGUUGUUCGGAUUUACUGGGCGUAAAGGGCUCGUAGGUGGUCAACUAAGUCGGACGUGAAAUCCCUCGGCUUAACCGGGGAACUGCGUCCGAUACUGGUUGGCUUGAGUUUGGGAGAGGGAUGCGGAAUUCCAGGUGUAGCGGUGAAAUGCGUAGAUAUCUGGAGGAACACCGGUGGCGAAGGCGGCAUCCUGGACCAAUACUGACGCUGAGGAGCGAAAGCCAGGGGAGCAAACGGG
RNAcentral lists this ribosomal RNA (253 nucleotides) under uncultured bacterium. RNAcentral describes it as "partial 16S ribosomal RNA". It matches the Rfam family "Bacterial small subunit ribosomal RNA", at positions 524 to 776 of the family's 1533-position model. The record is from RNAcentral.